RNAcentral lists this small RNA (29 nucleotides) under Bombyx mori (domestic silkworm). Its description in RNAcentral is "ovarian small RNA-22497". The record is from RNAcentral. Lineage: Eukaryota; Metazoa; Arthropoda; Insecta; Lepidoptera; Bombycidae.
UAGCUCCAUGCCAGUAGCUGCCUGCACUC